GUCUUGUAAUUGGAAUGAUGGGAAUUUAAACCUCUUCCAGAGUAUCAAUUGGAGGGCAGUCUGGUGCCAGCAGCCGCGGUAAUUCCAGCUCCAAUAGCGUAUAUUAAAAUUGUUGCAGUUAAAAAGCUCGUAGUUGAAUUUCUGCUGCAUUGCUUUUGCUCCUUUACGAGUCUUUGCAUUGUGGCUUAUUUCGGACUUUGUUUUACAAUGUCCGGAUGUUUACUUUGAGAAAAUUAGAGUGCUCAAAGCAGGCUUUCGCCUUGAAUAGUUUAGCAUGGAAUAAUAAAGUAGGACUUUGGUUCUAUUUUGUUGGUUUUAGGUACCAAAGUAAUGGUUAAUAGGAACAGUUGGGGGCAUUCGUAUUUAACUGUCAGAGGUGAAAUUCUUAGAUUUGUUAAAGACGAACUACUGCGAAAGCAUUUGCCAAGGAUGUUUUCAUUAAUCAAGAACGAAAGUUAGGGGAUCGAAGACGAUCAGAUACCGUCGUAGUCCUAACCAUAAACUA
This 505-nucleotide ribosomal RNA is filed under the name Theileria ovis. RNAcentral describes it as "SSU rRNA". It matches the Rfam family "Eukaryotic small subunit ribosomal RNA", at positions 500 to 1039 of the family's 1831-position model. Lineage: Eukaryota; Apicomplexa; Aconoidasida; Piroplasmida; Theileriidae. The record is from RNAcentral.